RNAcentral lists this ribosomal RNA (425 nucleotides) under uncultured prokaryote. Its description in RNAcentral is "bacterial SSU rRNA". It matches the Rfam family "Bacterial small subunit ribosomal RNA", at positions 355 to 774 of the family's 1533-position model. The record is from RNAcentral.
UGGGGAAUCAUGGUCAAUGGGCGAAAGCCUGAAACUGCGACGCCGCGUGAGUGAUGAAGGUCGUAAGAUCGUAAAACUCUUUUCAGGGAUCUUAAAGCCUGUCUGUCAACAACAGGCAGGUCUGGCUCUCCCUGGAAGAAGCCCCAGCCAACUACGUGCCAGCAGCUGCGGUAAUACGGAGGGUGCGAGUGUUAUUCGGAUUUACUGGGCGUAAAGAGCACGUAGGCGGAUAGGCAAGUCAGAUGUGAAAGCCCGGAGCUUAACUCCGGAACUGCAUUUGAUACUGCUUGUCUUGAGUGUGGUAGAGGGGGGUGGAAUUCCCGGUGUAGAGGUGAAAUUCGUAGAUAUCGGGAGGAACACCAGAGGCGAAGGCGACCCCCUGGGCCAUAACUGAUGCUGAGGUGCGAAAGCGUGGGGAGCAAACA